UGGUGUUGCAACUGUAGUGGAACUGCAGAAUUGAAUCAAACAUUCCAGAUUGGAUACUUGAAUUCUAUAAAGAACAUUUAAUUGAAUUAAAACUUUUAUUCUUUACUUUUGGUAAACUGUUAUUCCAAAAUUAAAUAUAUGAGGGGUUUGAGCGAGCGGCUAGCACAGUGAAUUUGCUCCCUACAUUUGUUGGUUUAUCCAUCCGUAUUAUCAAUUUAUCAAUGUUCUAAAAUGCGCGAUUUCCAUCUUU
This is a long non-coding RNA of Magnolia sinica, 250 nucleotides long. RefSeq lists it as uncharacterized. The transcript is spliced from 2 exons. NCBI's taxonomy places the organism in Eukaryota, Viridiplantae, Streptophyta, Magnoliopsida, Magnoliales, Magnoliaceae. The record is from RefSeq and is a predicted model, not a curated record.